GAUGCUAUUCUAGAGAUAGAAGGUUACUUCGGUACAUCGGUGACAGGUGGUGCAUGGUUGUCGUCAGCUCGUGUCGUGAGAUGUUGGGUUAAGUCCCGCAACGAGCGCAACCCCUAUUGUUAGUUGCCAUCAUUCAGUUUGGGCACUCUAGCGAGACUGCCGGUAAUAACCGGAGGAAGUGGGGAUGACGUCAAUCAUCAUGCCCCUUAUGACCUGGGCUACACACGUGCUACAAUGGUUGGUACAACGAGUUGCGAGUCGGUGACGGCGAGCUAAUCUCUUAAAGCCAAUCUCAGUUCGGAUUGUAGGCUGCAACUCGCCUACAUGAAGUCGGAAUCGCUAGUAAUCGCGGAUCAGCACGCCGCGGUGAAUACGUUCCCGGGCCUU
This 387-nucleotide ribosomal RNA is filed under the name uncultured Streptococcus sp. RNAcentral's name for it is "bacterial SSU rRNA". It matches the Rfam family "Bacterial small subunit ribosomal RNA", at positions 991 to 1382 of the family's 1533-position model. The record is from RNAcentral. Lineage: Bacteria; Bacillati; Bacillota; Bacilli; Lactobacillales; Streptococcaceae.